This 406-nucleotide ribosomal RNA is filed under the name uncultured bacterium. RNAcentral describes it as "partial 16S ribosomal RNA". It matches the Rfam family "Bacterial small subunit ribosomal RNA", at positions 30 to 526 of the family's 1533-position model. The record is from RNAcentral.
AUUGAACGCUGGCGGCAGGCCUAACACAUGCAAGUCGAACGAGUGGCGGACGGGUGAGUAAUGUCUGGGAAACUGCCCGAUGGAGGGGGAUAACUACUGGAACCGGUAGCUAAUACCGCAUACCAUCGGAUGUGCCCCGAUGGGAUUAGCUAGUAGGUGGGGUAACGGCUCACCUAGGCGACGAGCCCUAGCUGGUCUGUGAGGAUGACCAGCGACACUGGAACUGAGACAGGGUCCAGACUCCUACGGGAGGCAGCAGUGGGGAAUAUUGCACAAUGGGCGCAAGCCUGAUGCAGCCAGGCCGCGUGUAUGAAGAAGGCCUUCGGGUUGUAAAGUACUUUCAGCGGGGAGGCGUUACUCGCAGAAGAAGCACCGGCUAACUCCGUGCCAGCAGCCGCGGUAAUUC